GGGGCAGUGGUGGAAUCGGUAGACACAUCAGACUUAAAAUCUGAAGAACAUAGUUCGUGCGAGUUCAAGUCUCGCUUGCCCUA
This 83-nucleotide transfer RNA is filed under the name Synechococcus phage S-CAM1. Its description in RNAcentral is "tRNA-Leu". It matches the Rfam family "tRNA". From Rfam's summary of the family: Transfer RNA (tRNA) molecules are approximately 80 nucleotides in length. Their secondary structure includes four short double-helical elements and three loops (D, anti-codon, and T loops). The record is from RNAcentral. Lineage: Duplodnaviria; Heunggongvirae; Uroviricota; Caudoviricetes; Pantevenvirales; Kyanoviridae.